CCACAAGGGGUGAAGCCUGCGGUUCAAUUGGAGUCAACGCCAGGAAACUUACCAGGAGAGACAGCAGGUUGAGGGUCAGUCUGAAGAACUUACCUGACGAGCUGAGAGGAGGUGCAUGGCCGUCGCCAGCUCGUGCCGUGAGGCGUCCUGUUAAGUCAGGCAACGAGCGAGACCCCUAUCGGUAAUUGCUAACUGCCCAGAGAUGGGUAGAGGCUAGUUACAGAGACUGCCGUUGAUAAAACGGAGGAAGGAAGGGGCCACGGCAGGUCAGUAUGCCCCGAAACUCCUGGGCCACACGCGGGCUGCAAUGGUAGGGACAAUAGGUUCCGACCUCGAAAGAGGAAGGCAAUCCCCAAACCCUACCCCAGUUGUGAUCGAGGAUUGAAACCCGUCCUCGUGAAUAUGGAAUCCCUAGUAACCGCGUGUCAUCACCGCGCGGUGAAUACGUCCCUGCUCCUUGU
RNAcentral lists this ribosomal RNA (461 nucleotides) under uncultured archaeon. RNAcentral's name for it is "bacterial SSU rRNA". It matches the Rfam family "Archaeal small subunit ribosomal RNA", at positions 879 to 1339 of the family's 1478-position model. The record is from RNAcentral.